CUUUUCAGUAAUUCUGGUUUCACAACAGUCAUUGACUAGAAGAGUAAGUGUAAAUUCAGCAUCCUUCUCUAUCAGUAUGUAGAAAGGAAGAGCACAACUCCAGAUCUCAAAAAGCUCGAGGAGGGAAACACCCCUUUGUUGGAGUUUCAGGAAAAUGGUUGUAAAUUAAGGCCUUUUUAUUUGCAAUGUGUGUAAGCUGAUUAACAUGUGGGAAUUUACAACAGGUAUCUGGUUAGAAGGUUUUUUUUAAGGUGGCCAGAUAAACUGUCAGAGAGCUUGAGAAACAUCUUGCUAUGUGUAUUGUAAUUUCAAUAAAGGAUCAUUCACUCAAAGUGUAGGAAGUGAUUUUAGAUGCUGUUCUAUUUUGGCGGCAUUAUAGAUAAAAUAUUUAUCUUGUUGUAUGUAUGUACAGUUGUGCUCAACAGUUUGCAUACCCUGGCAGAAAUUGUACAUUUUGGCAUUGAUAUUCAAAAUAUGACUGAUCAUGCUAAAAAAAAAAUAUUUUUGGGAAGGAUAGUGAUCAUAUGAAGCCAUUUAUUAUUACAUAGUUGUUUGGCUUCUUUUUAAAUCAUAAUGACAACAGAAUUCACCCAAAUAAUCCUGAUCAAAAGUUUACAUACCCUUGAAUGUUUGGUGUUGUUACAGACACACAAGGUGACACACACAAGUUAAAAUGGCAAUUAAAGAUUAAUUUCCCACACCUGUGGCUCUUUAAAUUGCAAUUAGUGUCUGUGUAUGAAUUGUCAAUGUGUUUGUUAGCUCUCACAUGGAUUCACUGAACAGGCUAGAUACUGUGCCAUGGGGAGCAGAAAAGAACUGUCAAAAGACAUGCGUAACAAGAUAAUGGAACUUUAUAAAGAUGGAAAAGGAUAUCCAAAACCUUGAAUAUGCCAGUCAGUACUGUUCAAUCACUUAUUAAGAAGUGGAAAACUCUGGGAUCUCUUGAUAAGAUUGCCAAGGUCAGGUAGACCAAGAAAGAUUUCAGCCACAACUGCCAGAGGAAUUGUUCAGAAAAACCCACAGGUUACCUCAGGAGAAAUGCAGGCUGCUCUGGAAAAAGAUGGUGUGGUUGUUUAAAUGAGCACAAUACUAAAUCUUAUUGAGCAUCUGUGGGGCAUCCUCAAACGGAAGGUGGGGGAGUGCAGGGUCUCUAACAUCCAGAGGAGGAGUGGAAGAGGACUUCAGUGGCAACCUGUGACGCUCUGGUGAUCUCCAUGUCCAUGAGGGUUAAGGCAGUGCUGGAAAAUAAUGGUGAGUUCAUAUAUAACUCAAGGUAAGAACCAAUUAAUAAUUUCAAUCAUUGGUGAACUUAUCUUUCCAUUCAUGAAUGAUGGGAGUUGAAGUCCUUUCCAGAAUAGAAUGAAUUAUGGUUCCUUGAAGUAAGUGAAGAGAGAUAAGAAUCCAAAGUUAAGUUUGUUCCUUGAGAGGGAGAGGGGAGUAGAGCGUAGCCAGGAUAAAUGCCAGAGGUUUGGUACAUAGGAUAUCAGGUCAGCAGAGUUCUGUAGCGAAGCAGCAACAAAGUAGCAAGUAGCUAGAGCACAUCAAACCACAAGAGAGAU
Molecule: long non-coding RNA, 1559 nt
Filed under: Pelobates cultripes (western spadefoot toad)
Lineage: Eukaryota; Metazoa; Chordata; Amphibia; Anura; Pelobatidae
Source: RNAcentral